CCUACGGGUGGCAGCAGUGAGGAAUAUUGGUCAAUGGGCGCGAGCCUGAACCAGCCAAGUCGCGUGAAGGAUGACUGCCCUACGGGUUGUAAACUUCUUUUAUAAAGGAAUAAAGUGAGGCACGAGUACCUUUUUGUAUGUACUUUAUGAAUAAGGAUCGGCUAACUCCGUGACAGCAGCCGCGGUAAUCCGGAGGCUCCGUGCGUUAUCCGGAUUUAUUGGGUGUAAGGGGAGCGUAGAUGGUGUGUUAAGUCAUUUGUGAACGCGUGCGGCUCAACCGUAAAAUUGCAAUUGAUACUGGGAGUCUUGAGUACAGGUGGGGUAGGCGGAAUUCGUGGUGUAGCAGUGAAAUGCGUAGAUAUCGCGAAGAACUCUGAUUGCGAAGGCAGGUUACUAAACUGCCACUGACAUGGAGGCACGAAAGUGAGGGUAUCAAACAGGAUUAGAUACCCGAGUAGUC
RNAcentral lists this ribosomal RNA (460 nucleotides) under uncultured bacterium. RNAcentral describes it as "partial 16S ribosomal RNA". It matches the Rfam family "Bacterial small subunit ribosomal RNA", at positions 338 to 795 of the family's 1533-position model. The record is from RNAcentral.